RNAcentral lists this long non-coding RNA (355 nucleotides) under Chloebia gouldiae (Gouldian finch). RNAcentral describes it as "Erythrura gouldiae (Gouldian finch) lncRNA (ENSEGOG00005007056.1)". Lineage: Eukaryota; Metazoa; Chordata; Aves; Passeriformes; Passeridae. The record is from RNAcentral.
GGGAGACCAUUGCCAGCUGAUUCUGUGCCAAGAGUUACAGUACAAACGAAUACAGCAGUUCAUGUGCCUUGUACUGCUCCACCAGAUCAAUAUGUGAAGUAAGACUGGCUUCCACCAGCCUGAUCAGUGCCUUGUCAGAAACCACCUCCAUGGUGAUGCUGGGCUCAGCUCACAGCAGCAGAGAGUAAAACCAGCUCGGGGAUUACCUUUCCUUAUCCAAGGAGUGGCUGGGACGGACAAUUUGAAUAAUCACCGGGGCCAGGCUGCAGCUGCCAGGGACCUGGGAACUCCUGCGCUUGGAAUCGCCCUGCCCGCAGCCACAGCUGAGGAACAGACAUUUCCCUGCUCCGGGUGA